This 124-nucleotide microRNA precursor is filed under the name Brassica oleracea var. oleracea. RNAcentral's name for it is "MIR9563 microRNA precursor family". It matches the Rfam family "MIR9563 microRNA precursor family". The record is from Rfam by way of RNAcentral. Lineage: Eukaryota; Viridiplantae; Streptophyta; Magnoliopsida; Brassicales; Brassicaceae.
GGAAUAUAAGAAUCCGUCUCUUAACUUUUAAAUAAAAAAGUUAAAAACCGUCUCUUAAAACUCUUAUUUAAGAGCCGGUUCUUAGUUUUUUAGUUAAAAGUUAAGAAUCAGGUUCUUAUAUUCU